AGGAUCAAAUACAUAUUUUUAGGUAUUAUUUCUAAGUACAUAUUUCUAAAGCUACUGCUAAAAAUAAUAUACAUUCUGAAGAGUAAAAACAUAUGAGCACAAGGAAUACUGUGUACCUCUUGGCUUUGAGUGCUAACUUCUUUAUAUUUUUCUCCAUAAACAGAGGAAAGCAGCAGAGCUCUUGGAAAGCAGAGGAAUUGGGGCUUACUGGUAGCUUGCUGGAGAAAUGAUAAGCAACCUGUGCCCCUAAACAUUGGCUCCUAGAGAACAGACUAGCAUGUGGUGUGGAAGGCUGCAGCAAGAAGGGCAGAUUUCCAAAGACCAGGGCUCCCAGGAUGAGAACAAAAGAGCCAUCCAUUUGUAUGCCACCACCUUGGAUUCCACACCAUAUAUCCAACACCGAGGAUAUUUGUGGACCUAUCUUUGAGAAGAAGGUUGGGAUUCCUGAUUCAUCGACUGGGCCAAUCCCUGCAUAAUGUGGUGCUUUAAUGACUGUGACUUUCUUCUCUUCUUCCGAAGUUCUGCAGAUUGGUAUUGUGCUGGUGGUACUGCUGCCGCCAACAGAAUGAGCAUGCUGAGAACCAAGCUUGAAUUGAGUGAGACUGGUGGGGAAUAUCCUGAAGGGGAAAAAGGCCUUUGAAAGUGGCUCAUGGGACUGGUUGCUGAACUAGAGUUCCCGUUCAC
Long non-coding RNA from Lacerta agilis (Sand lizard), 684 nucleotides. RefSeq lists it as uncharacterized. The record is from RefSeq and is a predicted model, not a curated record. The transcript is spliced from 4 exons. Lineage: Eukaryota; Metazoa; Chordata; Lepidosauria; Squamata; Lacertidae.